RNAcentral lists this long non-coding RNA (4346 nucleotides) under Lotus japonicus. Its description in RNAcentral is "long non-coding RNA (LJAP_LNC001414)". Lineage: Eukaryota; Viridiplantae; Streptophyta; Magnoliopsida; Fabales; Fabaceae. The record is from RNAcentral.
CUUGACUCUGAUUCGCCAUCACCUGCAAUGCAACAUAACAAGCUAGCUUUUCACACUGUAAUGUGAAGUAUGAACCUAGUCUUUAUAAUGAGAUAUAACCCUCCCUUUUGUGAUCAAAACUUAGUUACAAAUCAUAGAUAGCUAUGGCUUAUGCUUUGCAAAACUAUGCUCUUAAUAUUUUUCUUUUGGCCUUGGCCUUAAUCCCAUUUGAGGGAGCCUGUGGCUCCCAUCAUCACCAAUUGCAGCACCUCAAAUCCCUUCACUUCUCUCUGUUUCAACAUGAAACCAUAAACAGAACAGGAUAUGUCAUAGUGAAUGGAGUGCAAGGAGGGCCAGGAAUCACUGAAACCACAACCCCUUUUGGCACUCUAUUUGUCUUUCAGGACCCUUUGACUGUCACAGCCAACAGAUCCUCCAAACUUGUUGGAAUUGCUGAGGGAACUUCCAUCACCUCAAGCCUUGAUGGGCUUCGCAGCAUUUCGAUUGCGAAGCUAACUCUGCGCCUGAAAAAUCACAGGGGUUCUGUUUCCAUUGUUGGAGGUACACAUAAUGUUAAGCCUUCAGAUCAUCCAAUAGUGGGAGGUACAGAAGAUUUCUUGUUUGUGCAAGGCUAUGUUACCUCUUCUCCUGUUGAUCUAAAGGGUGUUACCGUUACCUACAAGAUUGAAUUUCAUCUAUACUGGCCUCCUUAUGCAACUCAUGCCUCUUAAUUAGGAACUUGAUUUGUUCUUAUUUUAGUUGAAGGCUCAUGUUUUACAAAGCUGUAUCAGAGCAGUUUUUGAAAUGAAAAACGUCAUGGUUUAUGUUUGGAAACUUAGUUUUUACAUUUGUAUUUUACAACUACUCCUACACUCAUCCAAUUAUGGUACACUAUAGUGAAUAUUGUAAUAAAUAUAAAGGAUUUUCAACAGUGACGGAUCCAGGAUUUCUUAGUUGUGGGGCCAAAACACACGCACGUACAUAUAAAUAAAAUAUAAAAGAUUUAGUGUGGGCAAAUAAUACAAAUAACAUAUAUUUUUUACUGUACAAACAAGCAAGAUACAUAGUAUUUAAAAAACAUUUAACCACAAGGGGUGACACAAGUGGUGACUGUCUAUUUUUUUAAGAGAUUUCACCUAGGCUUCUGACCCGGGUUUGAAAGAGGAGAAAAAAAUUAUGUGAUCCUUUGCAAGAUUGUGAAUGGAACUUGAAAGCAGCAGAGUAUUAGGUUCAAGCUGAGAGCAUGAGCAAACUAAACUUUCGCAGGUUCAAAUCUUUUAAUUUGUUUUCAGAUAGUAUUCACAAGCAAAAUAUAAAAAUCCCAGCAUAGAAGAUCAUAUACAAUAGAACGUAUAACCCUUGACAAUACGUUGAGGCAGUGAACAACUGUUUACAUUAUUUUACUUAUCGACUAUCCUAGGUUUAAUGAGGUAAUUUCAUAUGGUUCAACAAAACUUGCAUAAGCUUUGAAAUGAAAAGAUUGAUUUUCUUAAUGGAUGGAUGGGAUAACCAAACAAGAUAGCAAAUUAUAUACUAGGGUGUUUCUCAAAAAAUAGUCCUCAGUUCCUAACACGUGAACAAGGAAAGAUGGCACCUAAUCCUUACAGGCAGAAAGAGGCUAUCAAGAAAGUCUGAACAGUUUGUGAGCUGCUUAUUAUAUCAAGGAAAGUCUAAGCAGCCUUUUAUUUCCUUGAAAAAAGAAAAACUUAGGACAUUAGGUCAGGUGGUGGGGAUCAUUUUAUUUCAAAGACAUGUAUGUGCCGCAAUGAGUUUAUAAUGAACCUAAAUUUAUCAACAAAAGUCAAGAAUCCUAAUUGACAACAAGUUAUCAUAGUCAUUAAGAAAUUCCGUAAACUUGAAUAGCAGCGCAUUUAGUUUCCCACAUAUACAGUAACCUUGAUUUCUGAAAUAGUAUGAAUCAAUGAAUUUGGUAAAACGAAUACAAUAUAAACCUUGAAUGCUUCCAUCUUAAACAAGGCACAAAAAAAAAUUCAAAUAUACAAGAGGUGCAAGAAACACCGAUGAAGCAGCAAAAGCAGAACAUGAUUGUAGUUAUAUGAAUAUAUUUCUGAGAGCUGCAGUGUUUACAAAUUAGUAAAGAAAGAAUAAAUAUAUUAAGCAGCCAGAGGAAGCGUUAGGUGAAGAUAUAAUUCUUUGAAGUGAUUUCGGUGUAGUAGUAGAACUAAAGCCUCUUCCCGUGACUCCUGUUGCAAUACUUCAAAGAAAAACUUUAAUUGUUCAAAAUUGAUUUAUAUGGAAGUUAAACCCGGGGAUUGUGUAGGCGAGGUCUAUUGCAGAAAACCCGGCCGUUGGCCCGCACAAAUGCUGCUAUACCAACACUAAUGCUUGCCCACAUUAGCGAAAAGAACAAGUGCCGAAAAUCAUAUCGAACUGUAGGAAAAAUGAACAGUCAGGCUUAAAGAUAACCGAUUUUACACCAUAUGUGAUAAGUAGUUGAUUAAUCUAUACGUGGUUGGCCUUAACCCCAAGCUAGCAAAAUCUAUAUUAGACGGUUAAACAAGACAAAUAGAGACAAAACUUCACUAUGUAACAACUUGAUAAUAAUGUAAUCAGUACAGGAAUAUCUAAUUUACUCUGCUUGUAUUCCUGCAACGAGGGAAGGACAAAAAUUCUCAUAAUCUUUGAAAGUCACGUUUUGCUUAAAUAUCUAGAAAUCGGGCAUUUUACGAUGCUUCAAAUUCUUUCCUUGACAACCUAAUUAUUUUAUUAUGAAAACUAAAGAUCCAUAUUAGAAGUGGCUUUCCUCCUUAUAUAUAUUUUUUGAACGUCUUUCCUUUUCUUAUAUAAAAGAGCCUAAAAUUGCAUACAUGAAUUUGGGUCAGUACUGAAAUGACCCAUAUAUACAUAACCACCUAAAAAUGAGGCGGGGUCGCAUAAUCCUAUAAACCAUGAAAGUCACUAAUAUAGCGUAAUAAACAUAUAAUUCACACAUAUAGAGAAUUAAUAUACGUAAAUGAUGUCAGACCGUCCACGCAUGAAGAGGCUACCCAUCAUACAAAGAAGUCAUGACUAAAGACUCGUUUGAGUUAGGUGACUCAUCAUUGGGUGUGUAAUUGUGUCCACCACCGUAGAUAAGUUUACCGAUAUUUUUUAUGAACUUUUUUAUGUAAGUUACUAUUGUGGCGGCCUUGAAUUACAAACUAAAGGAACGCAACUUUGACUUAUUCUUAUCGUGUUCCCUUUACCUUAUCACUCAUUUACUAGUGCCACCUGCUCCACCAUUUUGAAAGGCAUUUUAUUUUAACUUGGAAAGAAGCAUCUCACCUAAAAUCACUUAAUAAAAGUAUAAAAAAAAAAGUGAACUGAAAAAUGAAAAAUCAAAUUUUUGCACGCAAUUCAAAAUGCAGUAAAGUAAUUUUGGCCCUUUCUACACUGCAACAAGGUCUUCAAGGAUUCACACAAAUUUUCCAACAUCUUAUAAUGACUAGACUAGUGAAUUUAGAAUUCCUUGACUCUGAUUCGCCAUCACCUGCAAUGCAACAUAACAAGCUAGCUUUUCACACUGUAAUGUGAAGUAUGAACCUAGUCUUUAUAAUGAGAUAUAACCCUCCCUUUUGUGAUCAAAACUUAGUUACAAAUCAUAGAUAGCUAUGGCUUAUGCUUUGCAAAACUAUGCUCUUAAUAUUUUUCUUUUGGCCUUGGCCUUAAUCCCAUUUGAGGGAGCCUGUGGCUCCCAUCAUCACCAAUUGCAGCACCUCAAAUCCCUUCACUUCUCUCUGUUUCAACAUGAAACCAUAAACAGAACAGGAUAUGUCAUAGUGAAUGGAGUGCAAGGAGGGCCAGGAAUCACUGAAACCACAACCCCUUUUGGCACUCUAUUUGUCUUUCAGGACCCUUUGACUGUCACAGCCAACAGAUCCUCCAAACUUGUUGGAAUUGCUGAGGGAACUUCCAUCACCUCAAGCCUUGAUGGGCUUCGCAGCAUUUCGAUUGCGAAGCUAACUCUGCGCCUGAAAAAUCACAGGGGUUCUGUUUCCAUUGUUGGAGGUACACAUAAUGUUAAGCCUUCAGAUCAUCCAAUAGUGGGAGGUACAGAAGAUUUCUUGUUUGUGCAAGGCUAUGUUACCUCUUCUCCUGUUGAUCUAAAGGGUGUUACCGUUACCUACAAGAUUGAAUUUCAUCUAUACUGGCCUCCUUAUGCAACUCAUGCCUCUUAAUUAGGAACUUGAUUUGUUCUUAUUUUAGUUGAAGGCUCAUGUUUUACAAAGCUGUAUCAGAGCAGUUUUUGAAAUGAAAAACGUCAUGGUUUAUGUUUGGAAACUUAGUUUUUACAUUUGUAUUUUACAACUACUCCUACACUCAUCCAAUUAUGGUACACUAUAGUGAAUAUUGUAAUAAAUAUAAAG